RNAcentral lists this ribosomal RNA (498 nucleotides) under uncultured bacterium. RNAcentral's name for it is "partial 16S ribosomal RNA". It matches the Rfam family "Bacterial small subunit ribosomal RNA", at positions 30 to 523 of the family's 1533-position model. The record is from RNAcentral.
AUUGAACGCUGGCGGCAUGCCUUACACAUGCAAGUCGAACGGUAACAGGUCUUCGGAUGCUGACGAGUGGCGAACGGGUGAGUAAUACAUCGGAACGUGCCUAGUAGUGGGGGAUAACUACUCGAAAGAGUGGCUAAUACCGCAUGAGAUCUACGGAUGAAAGCAGGGGAUCGCAAGACCUUGUGCUACUAGAGCGGCCGAUGGCAGAUUAGGUAGUUGGUGGGAUAAAAGCUUACCAAGCCGACGAGCUGAAGCUGGUCUGAGAGGACGAUCAGCCACACUGGGACUGAGAAACGGCCCAGACUCCUACGGGAGGCAGCAGUGGGGAAUUUUGGACAAUGGGCGCAAGCCUGAUCCAGCAAUGCCGCGUGCAGGAUGAAGGCCUUCGGGUUGUAAACUGCUUUUGUACGGAACGAAAAGCCCCGGGUUAAUACCCUGGGGUCAUGACGGUACCGUGAGAAUAAGCACCGGCUAACUACGUGCCAGCCGCCGCCGUAA